RNAcentral lists this long non-coding RNA (296 nucleotides) under Amborella trichopoda. RNAcentral describes it as "long non-coding RNA (ATRI_LNC002352)". Lineage: Eukaryota; Viridiplantae; Streptophyta; Magnoliopsida; Amborellales; Amborellaceae. The record is from RNAcentral.
UUUUUUCGUUAAUCACUAAAGAGGCUUUUUUAGGUCAAUGUUUAAAAAUAGCAAUUUGGCAUGUGGUUAUAAUGUCCUAUGGAACUGGUUCAUACAUAACAGUUGGAUGAUUUUACGAUGACUCUUGCUGGGUAAUUUAUUUUCAAGCAAACAACUUGGCUUUUUGGGUGUGAAACAUGCCCGAGUUUGGAUGGUGGCAAUUGUCAUUAUUCAGCAAAGCACUUUGGGAUACAUAAAGGCAAGGAACAAGACGUCCAUGUGUGUGGUGAUCUUAUUGCUUGGAAGCCUAAAUCUAG